UCAGUUGAUGAUUGGUUUACCACCAAGAUCUCUGAGGCCUUAGUUUUCUACUGUUUAUCUACCAACUCAUAUUUGAUA
This is a small nucleolar RNA of Arabidopsis thaliana (thale cress), 78 nucleotides long. Lineage: Eukaryota; Viridiplantae; Streptophyta; Magnoliopsida; Brassicales; Brassicaceae. The record is from RefSeq.